AACGAACGCUGGCGGCAGGCCUAACACAUGCAAGUCGAGCGGACCCUUCGGGGUUAGCGGCGGACGGGUGAGUAACGCGUGGGAAUAUGCCCUUCUCUACGGAAUAGUCCUGGGAAACUGGGGGUAAUACCGUAUACGCCCUUUGGGGGAAAGAUUUAUCGGGGAAGGAUUAGCCCGCGUUGGAUUAGGUAGUUGGUGGGGUAAUGGCCUACCAAGCCGUCGAUCCAUAGCUGGUUUGAGAGGAUGAUCAGCCACACUGGGACUGAGACACGGCCCAGACUCCUACGGGAGGCAGCAGUGGGGAAUCUUAGACAAUGGGGGCAACCCUGAUCUAGCCAUGCCGCGUGAGUGAUGAAGGCCUUAGGGUUGUAAAGCUCUUUCAGCUGGGAAGAUAAUGACGGUACCAGCAGAAGAAGCCCCGGCUAACUCCGUG
This 433-nucleotide ribosomal RNA is filed under the name uncultured bacterium. Its description in RNAcentral is "partial 16S ribosomal RNA". It matches the Rfam family "Bacterial small subunit ribosomal RNA", at positions 29 to 507 of the family's 1533-position model. The record is from RNAcentral.